Molecule: ribosomal RNA, 290 nt
Filed under: uncultured bacterium
Lineage: Bacteria
Description: partial 16S ribosomal RNA
Rfam family: Bacterial small subunit ribosomal RNA
Source: RNAcentral
GGAUUUAUUGGGCGUAAAGCGCGUGUAGGCGGUUUGUUAAGUCUGAUGUGAAAGCCCCGGGCUCAACCUGGGAAGUGCAUUGGAAACUGGCAGACUUGAAUACGGGAGAGGGUAGUGGAAUUCCUAGUGUAGGAGUGAAAUCCGUAGAUAUUAGGAGGAACACCGGUGGCGAAGGCGGCUACCUGGACCGAUAUUGACGCUGAGACGCGAAAGCGUGGGUAGCAAACAGGAUUAGAUACCCUGGUAGUCCACGCCGUAAACGAUGAGUACUAGGUGUUGCGGGUAUUGAC